Molecule: long non-coding RNA, 1089 nt
Organism: Triticum aestivum (bread wheat)
Lineage: Eukaryota; Viridiplantae; Streptophyta; Magnoliopsida; Poales; Poaceae
Exons: 3
Source: RefSeq, a predicted model, not a curated record
UGACGGCAAGUUACUUCGGGACUGAUAGAAUCACCACAAAUUGAGAUGAGGCAUUCAAGCGGGCUGGACACACUGACACUCGAGCAGUAGGAUCCCUUGAACUGAAGAAAUGAAUAGGAAGAUACAUGCAAUUUAAGAAGAACAUUCAUCAUUAGUACUUGAAGAGACUUGCCUGGUUGGGGCAGAACAGGAUCUGCUAUAGUGCAUGUUACUUGACUGCUCACUGUACGACUUCAAUAAAAUCAAGGUCUUUUCCUGAUGCAAGAAAAUGUUUUCUUGCUGCAAUGAGGUAUGUGACAAUGUGCGGGAAGGAGAAAUUCACUCGGUAACAACACCGAUGCUACGGCUUGCAUGCUGAGAGUUGAGACCUGGUGAGCUUACUCGUACUAUUGUGUGAUGUGUUAACUUACUUUUGUAGUUUCUAUAUGCCAACAUAUAUCAUGCUGUUUUAUGGUUAGUAGUAUUUCAACAUAAUUUUUCUAUUCAUGCAUUGAAGCAAAACUGCAGUUAGUUGCUACAGAGCUAGGAGAUCUUGGUGUAUAAUAAAAUAUAUUAAUAUGGAGGGGUUCCUUUGUCACCUGAUUUGAUAAGGUAUAUAGUACGGAAGUUUUUUUAUUUCAUAAUCAUAUUCUUGAUGUACUGUUUAACGUAUUUUCUUUUCAGAGAUUUGCCCUUCAAAUUUUCUUGUGAUAGCUAAUUGCCUUUCUAUAAAACUCUUUGUGCGGAUUAGUUGAUAUGAUCAAUGGUCAAACUGUUUGAGUUUCAAAAUCAUUUUAACAUUUCAAAUUUGGGGGUUGUAUAUAUACAACCGGAUAUCAUGUGUAUCAUGCAUAGCGAUCUACUUUGUUCUGUCUGUUAGCAUUAAUUAAUGUCUACUUCUUGAUUAUAUUUGAUAUACUUCAGAUAGUGAGCAUGAUUGUGGGGAUGGUGCGUAUGAGGAUUUUUUCCCCUUCUCCCAUUGGAACACACAGGUAUAUUUGGGUUUAUAAUAUGGGUUGUUGCCCCAGUUGCUUUUGCUUGGCGAUAAUGGCAAUGCAGUUAUCACCAUGUUUGCACCGUUCUUCACAUGCACAUCCCUAGGCUCCUUAU